CGCUGGCCUGGACUGGGGAGGUUGCGGGAGUCCCCUGGGGUCUCCCGCGGGCACAGAGCGGCGAUCCGGGGAGGGGGAGCUACGUGACUUCGGGUCCCUCCAGCGUCGCUGCCCACUGCACCGUGAGGGCUGCGCCCACCCCAUCUUCACUGGCCAAAGAGAGCCCCAGAGCGCAGAGAGGGACGGGACUGGAUUCCAAACCUUCUUCACCCCCGAAAUUCUCCCCGCCCCGGACCCGGACUCUCUUUGCAGCGAAAAGCUAAGCGGUCCCAGGAAGAAGAGUGCGUGUGUGCCAGGGCGAGAGGGGAAAGGGCCUGUGCCCCAGGCCACCACCGAGGGCAUUCAAGUUCCCGGCAAUCAAAGUUACCGCGUGUCGGGUCGCGGGCUCGGAACCUGGCGGAAGGACCCGGCCAGGGACCUGGGGCGGCAGGAGGCCGGGGCGGCUACGGCCACGCCGGGAACAAGUGGUUCGGUGGCUGCGGCUGCGGCCGUGACCCCGAGGCUGCAACUUUCCCGCCGUGCCGCGGGGGAACGGCGCGGGGAAAGCGACGGGAGCGGGGAGGGAAGGGGCGGCGCGCGGCUCUUGGUACCGUGUGCGGAGCGGCACCGCGCCGCGCCUCGGGCUCUGCUCUGCGCCGGUUGUGGCCCCGCCGGUCGCCUGCUCAGACCGCCGCCGCGUCUCGCCGCUGGCGCGAACGCUCAUCCGCGUCUCGCCGGCCGCUCUGGGGUCCCCUCGGACCACCCGAUCGCCGCUCGCUGGCCGCAACUUCAGGCGCGCCGCGGGCUCGGACGAGGCGCGCCCCGAAUGUCCCGGGGCUCAGCACUCCUGCGCUCCAUGCCCUGGACCGGGCCACCCCGCCCCGGCCGGCUCACCGCCCGGCCGUCGUCGGACGCGUCUUUUCGCCGAGCAUCGCGCCCCUCUCUUCCGAGCCGCCGCCGCCGCUCAAGUCCGCGAUCAACUUUCCCUCGCUUCCUCCGCCCCGCUCGGUCCCCGCCGCCCAGACCCCGCCUCCUGACGCUCCCUCCCUCACCUCGCGCCUCGCCCAGCCCCCGCUCGCCCUGCCGCGCCUCGCAUCUCCCCCAGGAAGGGGCCGCCGGGACCCCUGCGCCCCCGGUCCCCACCACGCCCGGACCCCCGGGAGCGGCGCGCAGCCAGGCGGGCACUCAGGGUAUGAAUAUUUCAGUGCAGGCGAAGCUGCCCUCUGCCGAUGUCAUGGCACCGGCUGCUGUGGCAACUCGACGAAUCCCCCAAAGGGCCAAGGAGGAAGCUCGCGGAAGCGGUCUCAGGGUUUCUGGACCUGUCGCUGAUGCAUACUGACUGUAGCAGCCUGACGCGGGCUCUGCGUUGAGCCUUUCCGGCCUCACCUCUUUCCAGCCUCAGCUCUUUCCAUAUUCAACAGUCUUUCCCGUAGGUCUUGUCGUCGUCCCCUCUUGCUGUGGAACGCAGGCUUGAAGCAGGUGAGGGGUGGUGCAACCAGACCCUGAACCCAGCAUCUACCUGAUUGCAGAGCUUCCGUUCCUGCCAUUCGUUCUUCAUUCAUUCAUUUAUGCGCUGUUGUGUGCUAGCAACCAAAACAGGUUUGGGGAAUGUGAUGCGGAACAGACCAGCCUCGGUUUCUGUUCCUCCUGAAGCUCCUCUAGUGCAGGAACCAGACAGGCAUCAAGGAAUCACACCAACAGGUAAAAAUACAGGAGGGAUCAGUUCUAGGAAGGAGAGUACAUUAAUGGCACCUAGGCUAGGGGAUCAGGGAAGGCUUCCUGGAGAAGGUGACACUGAGCUGAGAUCUAAAGGAUGAGCAGUGGAGGGAGGGUAGAGUUUUAGGCAGGAGAAACAGCAUGUGCAGAGGUCCUGUGGUGGUAAGGAGUGGAUAUCUGAGGAACUGAAGGGAGGCCAGAGAGGCUGGAGCACGGAGAGUCUAGGGAGCUGAGGUAAGUAAAACUGGAGUGGGAGCAGGGCAGUACUGUGCGGGGCUCUGCUAGCCUUGAUCAGGGUUUGAUCUUCAUCCUAAGAGUGAAGGCAUCAAAGCAGGGUUUUGGCGUGGGAUUGACAUGAUCUGAUUUGCAGGUAGAAAAAUGAGGAAUUGAUUGGGAGGCAAUAAAGGCUAAGAAGGGACCACUUCAUUUACAAAUAAAUAUUGAUUUUCCCCAAGGG
Molecule: long non-coding RNA, 2152 nt
Organism: Dasypus novemcinctus (nine-banded armadillo)
Lineage: Eukaryota; Metazoa; Chordata; Mammalia; Cingulata; Dasypodidae
Source: Ensembl